UACGUAGGGUGCAAGCGUUAAUCGGAAUUACUGGGCGUAAAGCGUGCGCAGGCGGUUCGCUAAGACCGAUGUGAAAUCCCCGGGCUUAACCUGGGAACUGCAUUGGUGACUGGCGGGCUAGAGUAUGGCAGAGGGGGGUAGAAUUCCACGUGUAGCAGUGAAAUGCGUAGAGAUGUGGAGGAAUACCGAUGGCGAAGGCAGCCCCCUGGGCCAAUACUGACGCUCAUGCACGAAAGCGUGGGGAGCAAAAGGG
Molecule: ribosomal RNA, 253 nt
Filed under: uncultured bacterium
Lineage: Bacteria
Description: partial 16S ribosomal RNA
Rfam family: Bacterial small subunit ribosomal RNA
Source: RNAcentral